Molecule: long non-coding RNA, 757 nt
Organism: Mauremys reevesii (Reeves's turtle)
Lineage: Eukaryota; Metazoa; Chordata; Testudines; Geoemydidae
Exons: 5
Source: RefSeq, a predicted model, not a curated record
UCUUGCUUUACAGGCUAGUGUCAAGGCUUUGUGUAGAUGAAAUUAUCUACAAAAAUAUCUGUUUGUAUUAAGCUGGACCUUAAUAGGAAAAAAAUGAAAUCCCUGCUGAGCAACAAGGAAAUUUGCGAGAAGCAUUAACAACCAUGGAUCUUCCAAUUGUGAAAUGAACGAGUCAACAGCUACAAUGUGUAAAGCAGUCUGCUGAGCAGCUUUCAACAUCCUUUGUUGAAAAAUAUAAUCAGGGGUAAAUGAAAUAUAAAAUCAAACAUAAAAGAAGAAUAUUUCUAGUCAGAAUGGAAUCUCCUUUGUACAGUAGAAGAGUUGGCAAGCUGCUAGCAUAUAUUAAACUUCAUCCUCUCAGCAAGCAGAAAGCACAGUUGCCAAAGAAACUAGACACUUUCUAAGAGGAGGAAAGACAUCUAAUGUUUGACAGAAUUAUAUCUUUGGCAUCUUUCCAAACAUAAAGCUGCAGCUGUACCAGAAGAUCAAGUCAGAAGAUGGAAGAAGAGUCCUGGGGCAUGGGGAAGACCCUGUUUAGUGCAGUAAUAUGGAGUACUCUACCUUCUGACUUCAGCUGGAGAAUUUAAUCUAUCCACAAAUCAAAUGAAGCACAUGGAAAGCAGCACUACAAGCAUCUUUCUACUAUCUCAACUACAUGCCUCUGCUAUGACUUUGAGAAAUUACAGCUAGGAAAGGGAAAACAUACACCCUCCUGGACCACUUAAUCUUCUGUCUCUCCACCCUGUGAUUAGUAAAA